CAAAUUUGAAAGCUGGCUCCUUCGGGGUCCGCAUUGUAAUUUGUAGAGGAUGCUUCGGGAGCGGUCCCCAUCUAAGUGCCCUGGAACGGGACGUCAUAGAGGGUGAGAAUCCCGUAUGGGAUGGGGUGUCCGCGCCCGUGUGAAGCUCCUUCGACGAGUCGAGUUGUUUGGGAAUGCAGCUCUAAAUGGGUGGUAAAUUUCAUCUAAAGCUAAAUAUUGGCCGGAGACCGAUAGCGCACAAGUAGAGUGAUCGAAAGAUGAAAAGCACUUUGAAAAGAGAGUUAAAAAGCACGUGAAAUUGUUGAAAGGGAAGCGCUUGCGACCAGACUCGCUCGCGGGGUUCAGCCGGCAUUCGUGCCGGUGUACUUCCCCGCGGGCGGGCCAGCGUCGGUUUGGGCGGUCGGUCAAAGGCCCUCGGAAGGUAACGCCCCUAGGGGCGUCUUAUAGCCGAGGGUGCAAUGCGACCUGCCUAGACCGAGGAACGCGCUUCGGCUCGGACGCUGGCAUAAUGGUCGUAAACGACCCGUCUUGAAACACGGACCAAGGAGUCUAACAUCUACGCGAGUGUUCGGGUGUCAAACCCGUGCGCGAAGUGAAAGCGAACGGAGGUGGGAACCCUCACGGGUGCACCAUCGACCGAUCCUGAAGUCUUCGGAUGGAUUUGAGUAAGAGCGUAGCUGUUGGGACCCGAAAGAUGGUGAACUAUGCCUGAAUAGGGCGAAGCCAGAGGAAACUCUGGUGGAGGCUCGUAGCGGUU
Molecule: ribosomal RNA, 757 nt
Filed under: Penicillium chrysogenum
Lineage: Eukaryota; Fungi; Ascomycota; Eurotiomycetes; Eurotiales; Aspergillaceae
Description: eukaryotic LSU rRNA
Rfam family: Eukaryotic large subunit ribosomal RNA
Source: RNAcentral